This 520-nucleotide unclassified non-coding RNA is filed under the name uncultured Glomus. Its description in RNAcentral is "SSU rRNA". It matches the Rfam family "Eukaryotic small subunit ribosomal RNA", at positions 569 to 1092 of the family's 1831-position model. The record is from RNAcentral. Lineage: Eukaryota; Fungi; Glomeromycota; Glomeromycetes; Glomerales; Glomeraceae.
AGCAGCCGCGGUAAUUCCAGCUCCAAUAGCGUAUAUUAAAGUUGUUGCAGUUAAAAAGCUCGUAGUUGAAUUUCGGGAUCAAUUAGUCGGUCGUGCCUCUGGUACGUACUGGUUUUAUUGGUUCCUCCCUUCUGACGAAACAUGAUGUCAUUAAUUUGGUGUCGUGGAGAAUCAGGACUGUUACCUUGAAAAAAUUAGAGUGUUUAUAGCAGGCUAACGCUUGAAUACAUUAGCAUGGAAUAAUGAAAUAGGACGUUCGACCCUAUUUUGUUGGUUUCUAGGAUCGACGUAAUGAUUAAUAGGGAUAGUUGGGGGCAUUAGUAUUCAAUUGUCAGAGGUGAAAUUCUUGGAUUUAUUGAAGACUAACUACUGCGAAAGCAUUUGCCAAGGAUGUUUUCAUUAAUCAAGAACGAAAGUUAGGGGAUCGAAGACGAUCAGAUACCGUCGUAGUCUUAACCAUAAACUAUGCCGACUAGGGAUCGGAUGAUGUAAUUUUUAAUGACUCAUUCGGCGCCUUAAC